Molecule: ribosomal RNA, 550 nt
Filed under: uncultured Glomeromycotina
Lineage: Eukaryota; Fungi; Glomeromycota
Description: SSU rRNA
Rfam family: Eukaryotic small subunit ribosomal RNA
Source: RNAcentral
UUGGAGGGCAAGUCUGGUGCCAGCAGCCGCGGUAAUUCCAGCUCCAAUAGCGUAUAUUAAAGUUGUUGCAGUUAAAAAGCUCGUAGUUGAAUUUCGGGAUCAAUGUUUCGGUCAUGCCGUUGGUAUGUACUGAUAUUAUUGAUUUCUCACCUUCUAAAGAACCGUAAUGCCAUUAAUUUGGUGUCACGGGGAAUUAGGACUGUUACCUUGAAAAAAUUAGAGUGUUUAAAGCAGGCUCACGCUUGAAUACAUUAGCAUGGAAUAAUGAAAUAGGACAUCCGAUUCUAUUUUGUUGGUUUCUAGGAUCGAUGUAAUGAUUAAUAGGGAUAGUUGGGGGCAUUAGUAUUCAAUUGUCAGAGGUGAAAUUCUUGGAUUUAUUGAAGACUAACUACUGCGAAAGCAUUUGCCAAGGAUGUUUUCAUUAAUCAAGAACGAAAGUUAGGGGAUCGAAGACGAUCAGAUACCGUCGUAGUCUUAAUCAUAAACUAUGCCGACUAGGGAUCGGAUGAUGUUAAUUUUUUAAUGACUCAUUCGGCGCCUUACGGGAAAC